This 564-nucleotide ribosomal RNA is filed under the name Mycena sp. RNAcentral's name for it is "eukaryotic LSU rRNA". The stretch from base 1 to 151 matches the Rfam family "5.8S ribosomal RNA". The record is from RNAcentral. Lineage: Eukaryota; Fungi; Basidiomycota; Agaricomycetes; Agaricales; Mycenaceae.
UUUCAACAACGGAUCUCUUGGCUCUCGCAUCGAUGAAGAACGCAGCGAAAUGCGAUAAGUAAUGUGAAUUGCAGAUUUCAGUGAAUCAUCGAAUCUUUGAACGCACCUUGCGCUCCUUGGUAUUCCGAGGAGCAUGCCUGUUUGAGUGUCAUGAAAUUCUCAAAGCCUUGAUGGGUUUCUGUGCCCAUUUGAGGCCUUUGGAUGUGGAGUGUGCCGCCCACCUGCAAAGGGAAGGGCUGGCUCCUCUUCAAAUGCAUUAGUGAAGUCCCCCAGUGGAUUGGCUUUGGUUUGAUAACUAUCUAUGCCUCUGCCUUGAAGCGACUCCACCUGGAGGGGGUGAAGCCUUUGCUUAUAAACUGUCUCAUGUGUGAGACAAGAAUCUUACUUGACAAUUUUGACCUCAAAUCAGGUAGGGUUACCCGCUGAACUUAAGCAUAUCAAUAAGCGGAGGAAAAGAAACUAACAAGGAUUCCCCUAGUAACUGCGAGUGAAGCGGGAAAAGCUCAAAUUUAAAAUCUGGCAGCUCUGCUGUCCGAGUUGUAAUCUAGAGAAGCGUCUUCCGCG